RNAcentral lists this long non-coding RNA (1016 nucleotides) under Cricetulus griseus (Chinese hamster). RNAcentral's name for it is "lncRNA (ENSCGRG00015040641.1)". The record is from RNAcentral. Lineage: Eukaryota; Metazoa; Chordata; Mammalia; Rodentia; Cricetidae.
ACCAUUAGGAAGUGUGGCUUUGUUGGAGUGGGUAUGGCCCUGUUGGAGAAAGUGUGUUACUGUGGAAGAGGCUUCAAGAUUUCCUAUGCUCAGGAUACUGCCUGCUAUGUCAGUUGAUUUCCUGUUGCUCCAGCACCACGUUGCCACGAUCCCCAUGAUGAUGAUAAUGGACUGAACCUCUGCAACUAAGAAACCAACCACCCUGGACUGGCCCAACACCAAGCUCCUCUAAUUGUUCAACUAACCAGUUCAGCUACCUCCAUCCACAUUGAACAAUACCCAGUGACCUUGGAAACAAAAGUGAAAAUUGAAGUCCAUAUUGCCUGGCUUGAAGGGACAGGCUUCCUGGUGUCCUGCCAGUCACCCUGGAAUGUGCCUCUCCUGCCUGUGAAGAAACUUGGGACCUCUGAUUCUCAUGAGCCUGAUUCUUCCAGAGAAACAGGUACACACGGUCUUGGACCUGAAAGGGGUACUCUUCCUACAGGCAGAGGAGUCAACCCAUCUUUGCUUUUAAAUGGCCAGACCCAGUGGGAAGUUACAGCAGGUAACUUACAUGGACCAGGUUGCCCAAAGAUUUAGAAAUUUGCCAACCCUGUUUGAUGAGACACUAAAUGCUGUCCUCCUGCCCUCCUGUCAGAGAUUUCCCAGGAAAAUAGAUUGUAAAAGGACCACUGAGGGGCUGCUGCAAGGAUUACAGACUACAGAAUGUUUGGCUAAGAAAGCCCAACUUUGUACAUCAGAGGCUAUAUAUCUUGGCUACCAGCUAAGCGGAGGCAAAAAGGAGCCUGUCUCAGAGGAGGAUUGCUGCCACUCAAAGACUAAGAGACAGAUUGGAAGGCUCCUGGUGCAGCUGGCUAUUGCUGCCUCUGGAUACCAGAAUUUAUGGAAAUAGCAAGGCACAAGGGGGGCACUGAGCCCCUAAUCUGAAAUGGGACUAAACCAAAGACAAGAGGGGUUUUAAUCCAAAUGUUGGAGGCAUAGGAAUGCCCUAUGAUAUACCUAUCCAAAUGACUGGA